GACGAACGCUGGCGGCGUGCUUAACACAUGCAAGUCGAACGGAAAGGCCCUGCUUUUGUGGGGCGCUCGAGUGGCGAACGGGUGAGUAACACGUGAGUAACCUGCCCUUGACUUUGGGAUAACUUCAGGAAACUGGGGCUAAUACCGGAUAGGGGCUCCUGCUGCAUAGUGGGGGUUGGAAAGUUUCGGCGGUUGGGGAUGGACUCGCGGCUUAUCAGCUUGUUGGUGGGGUAGUGGCUUACCAAGGCUUUGACGGGUAGCCGGCCUGAGAGGGUGACCGGCCACAUUGGGACUGAGAUACGGCCCAGACUCCUACGGGAGGCAGCAGUGGGGAAUAUUGCACAAUGGGCGGAAGCCUGAUGCAGCAACGCCGCGUGCGGGAUGACGGCCUUCGGGUUGUAAACCGCUUUCGCCUGUGACGAAGCGUGAGUGACGGUAAUGGGUAAAGAAGCACCGGCUAACUACGUG
This 468-nucleotide ribosomal RNA is filed under the name uncultured bacterium. RNAcentral describes it as "partial 16S ribosomal RNA". It matches the Rfam family "Bacterial small subunit ribosomal RNA", at positions 28 to 507 of the family's 1533-position model. The record is from RNAcentral.